UACGAAGGGGGCUAGCGUUGUUCGGAAUCACUGGGCGUAAAGCGUACGUAGGCGGAUGCUUAAGUCAGAGGUGAAAGCCUGGAGCUCAACUCCAGAACUGCCUUUGAUACUGGGCGUCUUGAGUCCGGGAGAGGUGAGUGGAACUGCUAGUGUAGAGGUGAAAUUCGUAGAUAUUAGCAAGAACACCAGUGGCGAAGGCGGCUCACUGGCCCGGUACUGACGCUGAUGUACGAAAGCGUGGGGAGCAAACAGG
Molecule: ribosomal RNA, 253 nt
Filed under: uncultured bacterium
Lineage: Bacteria
Description: partial 16S ribosomal RNA
Rfam family: Bacterial small subunit ribosomal RNA
Source: RNAcentral